AGUGAACGCUGGCGGUAGGCCUAACACAUGCAAGUCGAACGGCAGCACAGUAAGAGCUUGCUCUUACGGGUGGCGAGUGGCGGACGGGUGAGGAAUACAUCGGAAUCUACUUUUUCGUGGGGGAUAACGUAGGGAAACUUACGCUAAUACCGCAUACGACCUACGGGUGAAAGCAGGGGAUCUUCGGACCUUGCGCGAUUGAAUGAGCCGAUGUCGGAUUAGCUAGUUGGCGGGGUAAAGGCCCACCAAGGCGACGAUCCGUAGCUGGUCUGAGAGGAUGAUCAGCCACACUGGAACUGAGACACGGUCCAGACUCAUACGGGAGGCAGCAGGGGGGAAUAUUGAACAAUGGGCGCAAGCCUGACCCAGCCAUACCGGGGGGGUGAAGAAGGCCUUCGGGUUGUAAAGCCCUUUUUUUGGGAAAGAAAAGCAGCAGGUUAAUACCCCGUUGUUCUGACGGUACCCAAAGAAAAAGCACCGGCUAAUUUCGG
Molecule: ribosomal RNA, 491 nt
Filed under: uncultured bacterium
Lineage: Bacteria
Description: partial 16S ribosomal RNA
Rfam family: Bacterial small subunit ribosomal RNA
Source: RNAcentral